Non-coding RNA from Rattus norvegicus (Norway rat), 935 nucleotides. The record is from RefSeq and is a predicted model, not a curated record. Lineage: Eukaryota; Metazoa; Chordata; Mammalia; Rodentia; Muridae.
GCUCAGUGGUAGAGCGCUUGCCUAGCAAGCGCAAGGCCCUGGGUUUGGUCCCCAGCUCCGAAAAAAAAAAAGAGGAAAAUGGCUGCUGUUAUUUAUUUGUGCUGGUUGCCACAGAGUCCAAAGGGUGUUUAAGCGAGUCAGUCAGGAUCACUGACUUUCAUGUACAUGAAGGCCAAGAAAAACAAACCAUAAACUCAGUUCCAUCAUCAUACCCUGCUCGAUUGAUCCCAUCGCCUAAGCCAUCCUCUGGGUCUUGUUCAUUUUAUGUAAGAGAGAGCCAGGGUAGGGAACGCACGCACGCACGCACGCACGCACGCACGCACGCACGCACGCACGCACGCACGCACGCACGCACGCACGCACGCACGCACGCACGCACGCACUCAGAUCUCAGCAACUAGGAUGUGAAACAACAGAGCCCAGGUCUCCAAACCCAUGAGGACGGUUCCUUCAAACAGGGUUUAAGACAGUGGGGUUUGUGUUACACUGUACUGACCUGGUGAAUCUGUAGCCCUUGUAGACUACACUUGGACGAAACAACUAUGAACUCCAGGGACACAUGGAGGAACAGACAGGUGUCACCACAUGUGCUAGGCAUUUCUCUGAAAGGACAAUCAAUCAAUCAUCAAUCAAUAAGCCAAUAAAACCACCAGUAGUGUCCCUGUCAAAAUCCCAACAGUGUGACUGCCUGGAAUCAGAUCUGAAAAACGACACACCAACGGCCUACAGACAAGCCAACACAAGCGGGGACUUUUGCGAGGUCCAGCCCAGAUGGAGAGCUACAGGCACUGAGAAAGGAAGGAAGACAUCUUCUCUGGGGACGAGCCCCUGACAGGAACCAGCAAAUCACAAAUGCGGAGAACCACCGUUCCACCGGAAAGGUGUUUUAAAACUUCCAGUGGUAAGAAAUAGAGAAAUAUUUACUGGUUCUCACA